RNAcentral lists this ribosomal RNA (213 nucleotides) under uncultured bacterium. RNAcentral describes it as "partial 16S ribosomal RNA". It matches the Rfam family "Bacterial small subunit ribosomal RNA", at positions 142 to 334 of the family's 1533-position model. The record is from RNAcentral.
AAUAACUCAGGGAAACUUGAGCUAAUACCGCAUAAUGCAGCGGCUCGACAUCGAGACAGUUGUUAAAGCGGGGGAUUGGAGCAAUCCGACCUCGCGCCUAAAGAGAAGCCUGCGGCAGAUUAGCUAGUUGGUGAGGUAACGGCUCACCAAGGUGACGAUCCGUAGCCGGCCUGAGAGGGCGGUCGGCCACACUGACACUGACAUACGGGUCAG